Vespa crabro (European hornet) is the source of this 494-nucleotide long non-coding RNA. RefSeq lists it as uncharacterized. Lineage: Eukaryota; Metazoa; Arthropoda; Insecta; Hymenoptera; Vespidae. The record is from RefSeq and is a predicted model, not a curated record. The transcript has 2 exons.
UAUAUUAUACAUAUAUAUAUAUUUAUACGCUGUCUCUCUCUUUUUAUUUUAUUUUAUUAUAUUACAUAUUACAGUAUAGUACAGUAUAAUAUAUAGUAUAUGGUUAUAUUUCAUAUUCAGUAAGAUUUGAAACGAAGAAAGGUAUUAAAAGUAAAUAAAUAAACAAAUAAAUAAACAAGAACAUUCACACCAAAUAUUACUUAUCUCGUGUGAAUACCUUUUUGUAGAUUAUCGUUACGUCAUUUGAAAGAUCCAAAAACAGAUUCGCCUACGUCAAAUAAACUCUCCUAGUGUCGUCACGUAUCUUUCGUGAUUAGAGUCAUGAUGAUAAGAGAGAGAGAGACGACGUUUAUUUUUCGCAUCAUCGAUUGUGCGAAAUACGUCACGGACACCUGUGAUCACUUUAAGGCAUCAUAACAAAUCUAAAGAACAUAAGACGCUACCGAAGGUAUUACGAGAUACAUAUGUACAUUAAGAGAUGAGGAUUGUAAAGA